Mangifera indica (mango) is the source of this 447-nucleotide long non-coding RNA. RefSeq lists it as uncharacterized. NCBI's taxonomy places the organism in Eukaryota, Viridiplantae, Streptophyta, Magnoliopsida, Sapindales, Anacardiaceae. The transcript is spliced from 2 exons. The record is from RefSeq and is a predicted model, not a curated record.
CUCUUUCCUAUGAUAUCCUUCUUCUCCUUUCCCCUGCUUCUAUUUUCUUUCUCCACCUUUACUUCCUCGAACAUGUGCCCUUCUUCCUUGAAAGGAUUGAAAUCCACAUGCAAAAGCUUUUCCUUCUAGGCUGUAAGCUUUUCUCUCCUUCAUUAUUGAAAGCCAGGCACUCAUGAAUGUUUUCAGGGGAGACAAAGUCCACAGCUACUUUUGUACAAGACUGAGAUGCAUGUAACAUUUAUCAGAUAACUAGAACAAGAAACCGACUUACUUGCAAAUGAUAAUGAAAUUCUAACCUUGAGAUUUCUGACUUGGUGCGGGCAUCCAGCUGGAAUAAAUACAGCCUCUCCAAGCUUUUGUUCAAAGCUCCAGGGCUCAAUUCCUGUAAAUUUCAUGGUAAACAUGUUAACAGCUGAGUUAUAGAAGAAGAUAUUGACAUUGCAGAAA